CUGCUCAAUGAUUUUUUAAAUUGCUGUGGUAUUUUGACUAUACAAAGGUAUUGAAAUAAGAUUUUAAUUGAGUGCUAAGAGAAUGUAAAUUCAAAAAAAAUCUUUUUUAAAAUUAAAAAUUGAAGUUAUUUUUUUUGUGAAGAAACAAAAAUAUAAAUUAAGGACAAGAAGACCCUAUGAAUUUUUAUUUAAUUAUAAAUUUGAAUAUAAUUUUUAUAAUUUAAUUUAAUUGGGGCGAUUUAAAAAUAUUUUCAACUUUUUUAAAAGUUAAGAAGAUCCUUUAUUAAAGAUAAAUUGAUUAAAUACUCUAGGGAUAACAGCGUAAUAAUUUUAGAUAGUUCUUAUAGAAAAAAUAGUUUGCGACCUCGAUGUUGGAUUAGGAUACUAAUUUAAUGGAGAAGUUAAAUUAAGAAGNNNGUUCAACUUUUAAUUUCCUACUUGAUCUGAGUUCAGACCGG
Molecule: ribosomal RNA, 458 nt
Filed under: Bothriocroton glebopalma
Lineage: Eukaryota; Metazoa; Arthropoda; Arachnida; Ixodida; Ixodidae
Description: partial 16S ribosomal RNA
Source: RNAcentral